GCAUGCAGUCGAACGAGAAAGGUCCCUUCGGGGGCUGAGUAGAGUGGCGAACGGGACAGUAACACGUGGGAAACCUGCCCUGCAGUGGGGGAUAACACUUCCAACGAGGUGCUAAUACCGCAUACGACCGCCGGUCGCAUGGCCGGCUGGUGAAAGGUGGCCUCUGCUUGCAAGCUGCCGCUGCUGGAUGGUCCCGCGCCCGAUUAGCUUGUUGGCGGGGUAACGGCCCACCAAGGCUACGAUCGGUAGGCGACCUGAGAGGGUGACCGCCGUCACUGGGACUGAGAUACGGCCCAGACUCCUACGGGAGGCAGCAGUCGAGAAGCUUCGGCAAUGGGCGAAAGCCUGACCGAGCGACGCCGCGUGAGCGAUGAAGGCCCUAGUGGUCGUAAAGCUCUGUCAGAUUGGGAACAAAUCCCGGGGGCGAACAACCCCCGGUGCUGAGGGUACCGUCAGAGGAAGCACCGGCUAACUCCGUGCCAGCAGCCGCGGUAAUACAGGGGGUGCGAGCGUUGUUCGGAUUCUCUGG
Molecule: ribosomal RNA, 529 nt
Filed under: uncultured bacterium
Lineage: Bacteria
Description: bacterial SSU rRNA
Rfam family: Bacterial small subunit ribosomal RNA
Source: RNAcentral